This 465-nucleotide ribosomal RNA is filed under the name Vreelandella stevensii. RNAcentral's name for it is "partial 16S ribosomal RNA". It matches the Rfam family "Bacterial small subunit ribosomal RNA", at positions 338 to 795 of the family's 1533-position model. Lineage: Bacteria; Pseudomonadati; Pseudomonadota; Gammaproteobacteria; Oceanospirillales; Halomonadaceae. The record is from RNAcentral.
CCUACGGGAGGCAGCAGUGGGGAAUAUUGGACAAUGGGCGAAAGCCUGAUCCAGCCAUGCCGCGUGUGUGAAGAAGGCCUUCGGGUUGUAAAGCACUUUCAGCGGGGAAGAAAGCCUUGGGGCUAAUACCCUCGAGGAAGGACAUCACCCACAGAAGAAGCACCGGCUAACUCCGUGCCAGUAGCCGCGGUAAUACGGAGGGUGCGAGCGUUAAUCGGAAUUACUGGGCGUAAAGCGCGCGUAGGCGGUCUGAUAAGCCGGUUGUGAAAGCCCCGGGCUCAACCUGGGAACGGCAUCCGGAACUGUCAGGCUAGAGUGCAGGAGAGGAAGGUAGAAUUCCCGGUGUAGCGGUGAAAUGCGUAGAGAUCGGGAGGAAUACCAGUGGCGAAGGCGGCCUUCUGGACUGACACUGACGCUGAGGUGCGAAAGCGUGGGUAGCAAACAGGAUUAGAUACCCCAGUAGUC